CCUACGGGAGGCAGCAGUAGGGAAUCUUCCGCAAUGGGCGAAAGCCUGACGGAGCAACGCCGCGUGAGUGAAGAAGGAUUUCGGUUCGUAAAGCUCUGUUGUUAGGGAAGAAUGAUUGUAUAGUAACUAUAUACAGUAGAGACGGUACCUAACCAGAAAGCCACGGCUAACUACGUGCCAGCAGCCGCGGUAAUACGUAGGUGGCAAGCGUUGUCCGGAAUUAUUGGGCGUAAAGCGCGCGCAGGUGGUUUAAUAAGUCUGAUGUGAAAGCCCACGGCUCAACCGUGGAGGGUCAUUGGAAACUGUUAAACUUGAGUGCAGGAGAGAAAAGUGGAAUUCCUAGUGUAGCGGUGAAAUGCGUAGAGAUUAGGAGGAACACCAGUGGCGAAGGCGGCUUUUUGGCCUGUAACUGACACUGAGGCGC
RNAcentral lists this ribosomal RNA (424 nucleotides) under uncultured Clostridium sp. Its description in RNAcentral is "bacterial SSU rRNA". It matches the Rfam family "Bacterial small subunit ribosomal RNA", at positions 338 to 754 of the family's 1533-position model. The record is from RNAcentral. Lineage: Bacteria; Bacillati; Bacillota; Clostridia; Eubacteriales; Clostridiaceae.